RNAcentral lists this ribosomal RNA (604 nucleotides) under Lycoprogenthes sp. UPOL A00572. RNAcentral's name for it is "partial 16S ribosomal RNA". The stretch from base 379 to 537 matches the Rfam family "Bacterial large subunit ribosomal RNA", at positions 2473 to 2632 of the family's 2925-position model. Lineage: Eukaryota; Metazoa; Arthropoda; Insecta; Coleoptera; Lycidae. The record is from RNAcentral.
CAUGUCUUUUUGAUUAUGAUUUAAGGUCUUGUCUGCUCAAUGUAAAAUAAAUAGCCGCAGUAUUAUGACUGUGCAAAGGUAGCAUAAUAAUUAGUUUUUUAAUUGAAAACUGGAAUGAAAGAUUGGACGAGAAAAUUUCUGUCUCUUUUUAAAAUAUUAUUGAAUUUUAUUUUUAAGUUAAAAAGCUUAAAUUUUUGUAAAAGACGAGAAGACCCUAUAGAGUUUGAUAAAAGUUAAUUAAAUAUUUUUUGGUAAAUUAUUUAAUUUAAUUUUAUUUAGUUGGGGUGACUUAAAGAUUAAUAAAAUUCUUUAAUAAUAAAGUUAAUGAUUUUUAAAUUUUAUAUUUUUUAUAAAAAAUAUAAUAUAAAUUACCUUAGGGAUAACAGCGUAAUCUUUCUUAAGAGUUCUUAUUAUAAGAAAGGUUUGCGACCUCGAUGUUGGAUUAAAAUAAAUUUUUGGUGCAGUAGCUUAAAAAUUAGGUCUGUUCGACCUUUAAAAUUUUACAUGAUCUGAGUUUAGACCGGUGUGAGCCAGGUUGGAUUCUAUCUUUAAAUAGAUUAUAUAUUUUAGUACGAAAGGACCACAUAUAUAUUAUAAUUAAUUG